Fukomys damarensis (Damara mole-rat) is the source of this 124-nucleotide ribosomal RNA. Lineage: Eukaryota; Metazoa; Chordata; Mammalia; Rodentia; Bathyergidae. The record is from Ensembl.
GUCUACAGCCAUCCCUCUUUGAAUGUACCCAAUCUCAUCUGGUCUUGAAAGAUAAGCAUGGCUGGGCCUGACUAGUACUAAGAAAGGAGAUAGAUUUGAAUAGAGAGUAAAAGUUUUCUAGAGG